Molecule: RNA transcript, 761 nt
Organism: Carlito syrichta (Philippine tarsier)
Lineage: Eukaryota; Metazoa; Chordata; Mammalia; Primates; Tarsiidae
Gene name: non-histone chromosomal protein HMG-17 pseudogene
Exons: 1
Source: RefSeq, a predicted model, not a curated record
GUGUGAAGAAGAGGCAAGAACGACCCCCGGACUGACCAAAGCCUGCACGCCGCUCCAUCCCCACGUCCAACUCCUUAGUUCCGCUGCCAUCACCACCAUGCCCAAGAGAAAGGCUGAAGGGGAUGCUAAAGGAGAUAAAGCCAAGGUGAAGGACGAACCCCAGAGAAGACCUGCAAGAUUGUCGGCUAAACCUGCUCCUCUAAAGCCAGAGCCCAAGCCUAAGAAGGUCCCAGCUAAGAAGGGAGAGAAGGUACCCAAAGGGAAAAAGAGAAAAGCCGAUGCUGGCAAGGAGGGGAAUAACCCUGCAGAACAUGGAAAUGCCCAAACAGACCAGGCACAGAAAGCUGAAGGUGCUGGAGAUGCCAAGUGAAGUGUGUGCAUUUUUGAUAACUGUGUACUUCUGGUGACUGUACAGUUUGAAAUACUAUUUUUUAAAUCAAGUUUUAUAAAAACGCAGAAUUUUGUUUUUGCUUUUUUCAAGCUAUGUUGUUAACACACAGAACACUUCAUUGUUGUUUUUGGGGAAAGGGGCAUAUGUCACUAAUAGAAUGUCUCCAAAGCUGAAUUGAUGUGGGGAAAACACCUUUCCCUUCUAGUUUUAAGAGACUUCCUCUUGGCUUCCAGGAGGAGGGAUUCCCCGACGUUGACACACAUAGCCACCUUGGUACAAACGCCUGUGGUGUGGAAAAACAUUCAUUUUUUAUGCCCUCUUCUCCCUUUCUGCCUUCAGCAUAGACUUAACCCAGACAUCUGUUGGGACC